AUUGAACGCUGGCGGCAGGCCUAACACAUGCAAGUCGAACGAGUGGCGGACGGGUGAGUAAUGUCUGGGAAACUGCCUGCUGGAGGGGGAUAACUACUGGAAACGGUAGCUACUACCGCCUACCAUCGGAUGUGCCCAGAUGGGAUUAGCUAGUAGGUGGGGUAACGGCUCACCUAGGCGACGAUCCCUAGCUGGUCUGAGAGGAUGACCACGCAAACUGGAACUGGGACACGUUCCAGACUCCUAGGGGAGGCAGCAGUGGGGAAUAUUGCACAAUGGGCGCAAGCCUGAUACAGCCAUGCCGCGUGUAUGAAGAAGGCCUUCGGGUUGUAAAGUACUUUCAGCGGGGAGGCGUUACCCGCAGAAGAAGCAACGGCUAACUCCGUGCCAGCAGCCGCGGUAAUAC
RNAcentral lists this ribosomal RNA (406 nucleotides) under uncultured bacterium. Its description in RNAcentral is "partial 16S ribosomal RNA". It matches the Rfam family "Bacterial small subunit ribosomal RNA", at positions 30 to 526 of the family's 1533-position model. The record is from RNAcentral.